AAGUCGUAACAAGGUUUCCGUAGGUGAACCUGCGGAAGGAUCAUUAUUGAUUUUUAAAGAUGUGCUGGCACUCCUUCACUGGUUUGCAUGUGCACUCUACAAAAUCUCCUUCUCUUACCCCACUGUGCACACUCAAGUAGACAAACAGAGUUGCAGAGCAAUCUGUGUAAUUCCUGAUUUGUCUAUGUUUUUAUCAAACACCAAUAACAAUUUCAGAAUGAUCUAUAGUAAGCUUUUGACAAGCUGAAAUCUAAUACAACUUUCAACAAUGGAUCUCUUGGUUCUC
Molecule: unclassified non-coding RNA, 286 nt
Filed under: Clavaria sp.
Lineage: Eukaryota; Fungi; Basidiomycota; Agaricomycetes; Agaricales; Clavariaceae
Description: partial contains small subunit ribosomal RNA, internal transcribed spacer 1, and 5.8S ribosomal RNA
Rfam family: Eukaryotic small subunit ribosomal RNA (bases 1-46)
Source: RNAcentral